RNA transcript from Asparagus officinalis (garden asparagus), 1376 nucleotides. It is a transcript of the gene named mitochondrial uncoupling protein 3, with no coding region annotated. The transcript has 3 exons. The record is from RefSeq and is a predicted model, not a curated record. Lineage: Eukaryota; Viridiplantae; Streptophyta; Magnoliopsida; Asparagales; Asparagaceae.
UGCUGUGGGGGGCUGUUCAACUAAAAAGCCACAUGGGGGACACCACCACCAAGAUCGCCCUCCCUCCCUGUCAGCAGCGGCGGCCGAGGCCGCAACUUACCCCAUCGACAUCACCAAAACCCGACUCCAGCUCCACGGCGGAUCCCGUCGCCGCUCCGAUCCGGUCGGUCGCCUCCGGGAUCUGGCGCGAGGGCGGGGUUCUGGGGUUCUACAGGGGGCUCUCGCCUGCGAUCCUCCGCCAUCUGUUCUACACCCCGAUGAGGAUUGUUGGGUAUGAGCAGCUCAGGAGCGUUGCUGGGGACUCGGCGAUCGAGAAGGCGGUCGCUGGUGGGUCUUCUGGGGUUGUUGCUCAGGUCGUAGCUAGCCCAGCUGACCUUAUAAAAGUAAGGAUGCAAGCAGAUGGCCGUAUGCUAAGUCAAGGUCUCCAACCCCGAUAUUCAGGGAUUUUUGAUGCAUUUAAAAAGAUAAUCCAGACAGAAGGCUUCCAAGGACUCUGGAGAGGGGUACUUCCUAAUGCUCAAAGAGCAUUCCUUGUCAACAUGGGGGAACUGACUUGCUAUGACCAAGCCAAGCAUUUCAUCAUAAAUCAUCAAAUUUGUGGUGAUAAUAGUUUUGCCCACACUUUGGCAUCUGUUGCUUCUGGUCUCUCUGCAACCGCACUUAGUUGCCCAGCCGAUGUGAUAAAGACUAGAAUGAUGAAUCAAGCUGUGGGUAAAGGGGAAUCCAGGACUGUUUAUCGGAAUUCUUAUGAUUGUCUGGUGAAAACUGUGAAGUUGGAAGGUGUGAUGGCAUUGUGGAAGGGUUUCUUUCCUACAUGGGCCAGGCUCGGUCCUUGGCAAUUUGUAUUCUGGGUUUCUUAUGAGAAGUUUCGUCAAGUUUCUGGUCUUUCUUCCUUCUGAUAAAUGUUACUUGAGCUGGUUGCAGUCAUAUUCUCAACUGGCUGGUAUUGUAUUCAACGCAGCGGUAGUGCAUAGAACAUCGGUGCAGCUGACACAGGAAAUUUUUGUUUCAAGUUUUGUUAUAUUGAAGAAACUGUAAGAGCUCGAGGAAAUUGUAUUAAGGUCCUAAGGGGAAAAAAAAACAUCCUACCAAUGCAUUCAAAUUUAUGAAUUAGAAUCAUCAUUGAGCCCUUCUCGGGUGUAAUAAGUUGAUUCUUGAAGGAACAUGCAUUAUGUCCUUUGAAGUGUGUACUAUCCCAUUGAAAGGGAAAAAAAAUCCUCAAAGUUCAUAUUGCACAGAGUAGGAAGGGGAUACGACUUGUUUUUCUUUGUCUGUUUCUUGUCGAUGGUACUUUUGAUGUGCAUGUCUUCAGAGGCGAGGGGCGAACUUGAUCGAUGAUUUGUUCUUUCCUUUAUUUUAGUAAACUGAUGUUGUCA